This 1120-nucleotide ribosomal RNA is filed under the name Stenocereus thurberi (organ pipe cactus). RNAcentral describes it as "bacterial SSU rRNA". It matches the Rfam family "Bacterial small subunit ribosomal RNA", at positions 388 to 1520 of the family's 1533-position model. Lineage: Eukaryota; Viridiplantae; Streptophyta; Magnoliopsida; Caryophyllales; Cactaceae. The record is from RNAcentral.
NNNNNNNUGCCGCAUAGAGGCAGAAGGCCCACGGGUCAUGAACUUCUUUUCCCGGAGGAGAAGCAAUGAUCGUAUCUGUGGAAUAAGCAUCAGCUAACUCUGUGCCAGCACCCACGGUAAGACAGAGGAUGCAAGCGUUAUCUAAAAUGAUUGGGCGUAAAGUGUCUAUAAGUGGCUUUUUAAGUCCCCCGUCAAAUCCUAGGGCUCAACCCCGGACAGGUGGUGGAAACUGACAAGCUGGAGUACGGUAGGGACAGAGGGAAUUUGCGAUGGAGCGGUUAAAUGCGUAGAGAUCGGAAAGAACACCAACGGUGAAAGCGCUCUGCUGGAUUGACACUGACACUCAGAGACGAAAGCUAGGGGAGCGAAUGGGAUUAGGUACCCCUGUAGUCCUAGCCGUAAACGAUGGAUACUAGGCACUACGCGUAUCAACUCGUGCAGUGUUAUAGCUAAUGCGUUAAGUAUCCUGCCUGGGGAGUACAUUUGCAAGAAUGAAACUCAAAGGAAUUGAUGGGGGCCCGCACAAGCGGUGGAGCAUGUGGUUUAAUUCGAUGCAAAGCGAAGAACCUUACCAGGGCUUGACAUGCGGCGAAUCCUCUUGAAAGAGAGGGGUGCCUUCGGGAAUGCGGACAUAGGUGGUGCAUGGCUGUCGUCAGUUCGUGCCGUGAGGUGGUGGGUUAAGUCCCAUAACGAGCGCAACCCUCGUGUUUAGUUGUCGACUUAAGUUUGGAACCCUGAACAGACUGCUGGUGUUAAGCCAGAAGAAGGCGAGGAUGACGUUAAGUCAUCAUGUCCCUUAUGCCCUUGGCGACACACAUGCUACAAUGGCCGGGACAAAGGGUCGCGAUCCCACGAGGACGAGCUAACCCCAAAAACCCGUCCUUAGUUCGGAUUACACGUUGCAACUCGCCUGUAUGAAGCAGGAAUCGCUAGUAAUCGCCGGUUAGCCAUGCGGCGGUGAAUUCGUUCUCGGGCCUUACACACACCGCCCAUCACACUAGGGAAGUUGGCUAUGUUUGAAGUCCAUACCUUAGCCGCAGCAAGGAGGGGGAUGCCGAAGGCCAGGGUUAGUGACUGGAGUGAGGUUGUAACAAGGCAGCCGUAUUGGAACGUGCGACUA